AGUGAACGCUGGCGGUAGGCCUAACACAUGCAAGUCGAACGGCAGCACAGUAAGAGCUUGCUCUUACGGUUGGCGAGCGGCGGACGGGUGAGGAAUACAUCGGCAUCUACUUUUUCGUGGGGGAUAACGGAGGGACACUUACGCUAAUACCGCAUACGUCCUACGGGUGAAAGCAGGGGAGCUUCGGACCUUGCGCGAUUGAAUGAGCCGAAGCCGCAUUAGCUAGUUGGCGGGGUAACGGCCCACCAAGGCGACGAUCCGUAGCUGGUCUGAGAGGAUGAUCAGCCACACUGGAACUGAGACACGGUCCAGACUCCUACGGGAGGCAGCAGUGGGGAAUAUUGGACAAUGGGCGAAAGCCUGAUCCAGCCAUACCGCGUGGGUGAAGAAGGCCUUCGGGUUGUAAAGCCCUUUUGUUGGGAAAGAACAGCAGCAGGUUAAUCCCCCGCUGUUCUGACGGUACCCAAAGAAUAAGCACCGGCUAACUUCGUG
Molecule: ribosomal RNA, 492 nt
Filed under: uncultured bacterium
Lineage: Bacteria
Description: partial 16S ribosomal RNA
Rfam family: Bacterial small subunit ribosomal RNA
Source: RNAcentral